RNAcentral lists this small RNA (508 nucleotides) under Histoplasma capsulatum var. duboisii H88. RNAcentral's name for it is "Histoplasma capsulatum H88 hypothetical RNA". The record is from RNAcentral. Lineage: Eukaryota; Fungi; Ascomycota; Eurotiomycetes; Onygenales; Ajellomycetaceae.
UGUAUGUAUCUCAGCUGAGAAUUUGAUCAUUUUGACUCAUUAUUUGAUUAUUCUAUAAAGAAAACCUUGUAUAUUAUUGGCUUUAUUACAGGGAAAUUGGACUCCUUUUGCUCAUUCUAUAAGAUUUGUUUGUACGGAGUCCUAUAACCAAGUGGACUCCACAGAAAACUGGGUGGGUCCUGUUACAUGGAUAAACCCCCUUGAUAACACCUUAUAUCCGCGUAUCGGACAUACUGUAUUGAUCUUGUUGUUGAAUGAUUGCAUCUAAACCUGUUUCUCUGCGUUUUGAACCAGGAUGUUCUGCUGCUGCUGAUUUGAAAUCCAAAUGAUUUAGUUUUUGUAUCCCUUUGUCUAUUAACUAGACUGUUAGCUCAGAAGUACCAACCAUAAUUUCUCAUACUAAAAUAUAUACAAUUCUCAGCCCCGGUGGCCGAAUGGGUAAUGCGGCCACCUGGUAGUCCCUUGAUAUGGGGACCCAAAAUGUGUGGGUUUAAAACCCACAGAGGAC